AUUGAACGCUGGCGGCAGGCCUAACACAUGCAAGUCGAACGGCUGAACAGAGCUUGCUUCUGGUUUCAGCGGCGGACGGGUGAACAAUGCCUAGGAAUCUGCCUGGCAGUCUGGGAUAACGUCCGGAAAUGGGCGCUAAUACGGCAUACGUGCUGAGGGAGAAAGUGGGGGAUCUUCGGACCUCACGCUAUCACGUGAUUCUAUGUCGGAUUAGCUAGUUGGUGGGGUAAAGGCCUACCAAGGCGACGAUCCGUAACUGGUCUGAGAGGAUGAUCAGUCACACUGGAACUGAGACACGGUCCAGACUCCUACGGGAGGCAGCAGUGGGGAAUAUUGGACAAUGGGCGGAAGCCUGAUCCAGCCAUGCCGCGUGUGUGAAGAAGGUCUUCGGGUUGUAAAGCACUUUAAGUUGGAAGGAAGGGCAGUAAGUUAAUACCUUGCUGUUUUGACGUUACCAAAAGAAUAAGCACCGGCUAACUUCGUG
Molecule: ribosomal RNA, 484 nt
Filed under: uncultured bacterium
Lineage: Bacteria
Description: partial 16S ribosomal RNA
Rfam family: Bacterial small subunit ribosomal RNA
Source: RNAcentral